UGCAGUCGAACGAGAAAGCGGGGGCAACCUCGUGAGUAAAGUGGCGUACGGGUGAGUAACACGUGGAUCAUCUACCUCCGGGUGGGGAAUAACGCUGGGAAACCGGCGCUAAUACCGCAUAAGCUCGAGAGAGGAAAGCAGCAAUGCGCCGGGAGAGGAGUCCGCGGCCGAUUAGCUAGUUGGUGAGGUAACGGCCCACCAAGGCAAAGAUCGGUAGCCGGCCUGAGAGGGCACACGGCCACACUGGCACUGAAACACGGGCCAGACUCCUACGGGAGGCAGCAGUGGGGAAUCUUGCACAAUGGGGGAAACCCUGAUGCAGCGACGCCGCGUGAGCGAUGAAGCCCUUCGGGGUGUAAAGCUCUUUCGGCAGGGAAGAAUGAUGACGGUACCUGCAGAAGCAGCUGCGGCUAACUACGUGCCAGCAGCCGCGGUAAUACGUAGGCAGCGAGCGUUGUUCGGAGUUACUGGGCGUAAAGGGUGUGUAGGCGGUUCUCUAAGUUUGGUGUGAAAUCUCCCGGCUCAACCGGGAGGGUGCGCCGAAAACUGGGGGACUAGAGUGCGGGAAGGGAGAGUGGAAUUCCUGGUGUAGCGGUGAAAUGCGUAGAUAUCAGGAGGAACACCGGUGGUGUAGACGGCUCUCUGGACCGUAACUGACGCUGAGACACGAAAGCGUGGGUAGCAAACAGGAUUAGAUACCCUGGUAGUCCACGCCCUAAACGAUGCAUAUUUGGUGUAGGUCAUUCAGUUGAUCUGUGCCGGAGCUAACGCGUUAAUAUGCCGGCCUGGGGGAGUACAGUCGCAAGGCUGAAACUCAAAGGAAUUUGACGGGGGGCCCGCACAAGCGGUUGGAGGAUGG
This 859-nucleotide ribosomal RNA is filed under the name uncultured soil bacterium. RNAcentral's name for it is "bacterial SSU rRNA". It matches the Rfam family "Bacterial small subunit ribosomal RNA", at positions 56 to 942 of the family's 1533-position model. The record is from RNAcentral.